RNAcentral lists this ribosomal RNA (1169 nucleotides) under uncultured Bacteroides sp. RNAcentral's name for it is "bacterial SSU rRNA". It matches the Rfam family "Bacterial small subunit ribosomal RNA", at positions 10 to 1177 of the family's 1533-position model. Lineage: Bacteria; Pseudomonadati; Bacteroidota; Bacteroidia; Bacteroidales; Bacteroidaceae. The record is from RNAcentral.
AGUUUGAUCCUGGCUCAGGAUGAACGCUAGCUACAGGCUUAACACAUGCAAGUCGAGGGGCAGCAUUGGAGUAGCAAUACUUCAGAUGGCGACCGGCGCACGGGUGAGUAACACGUAUCCAACCUGCCGCUUACUCGGGGAUAGCCUUUCGAAAGAAAGAUUAAUACCCGAUGGUAUAAAGAGUUCGCAUGUUCUCUUUAUUAAAGAAUUUCGGUAAGCGAUGGGGAUGCGUUCCAUUAGAUAGUUGGCGGGGUAACGGCCCACCAAGUCUACGAUGGAUAGGGGUUCUGAGAGGAAGGUCCCCCACAUUGGAACUGAGACACGGUCCAAACUCCUACGGGAGGCAGCAGUGAGGAAUAUUGGUCAAUGGACGAGAGUCUGAACCAGCCAAGUAGCGUGAAGGAUGACUGCCCUAUGGGUUGUAAACUUCUUUUAUAAGGGAAUAAAGUGAGGGACGUGUCCCUUUUUGUAUGUACCUUAUGAAUAAGGAUCGGCUAACUCCGUGCCAGCAGCCGCGGUAAUACGGAGGAUCCAAGCGUUAUCCGGAUUUAUUGGGUUUAAAGGGAGCGUAGGUUGACAUAUAAGUCAGCUGUGAAAGUUUACGGCUCAACCGUGAAAUUGCAGUUGAUACUGUAUGUCUUGAGUGUACAAGAGGUGGGCGGAAUUCGUGGUGUAGCGGUGAAAUGCUUAGAUAUCACGAAGAACUCCAAUUGCGAAGGCAGCUCACUGGGGUACAACUGACACUGAGGCUCGAAAGUGUGGGUAUCAAACAGGAUUAGAUACCCUGGUAGUCCACACAGUAAACGAUGAAUACUCGCUGUUUGCGAUAUACAGUAAGCGGCCAAGCGAAAGCAUUAAGUAUUCCACCUGGGGAGUACGCCGGCAACGGUGAAACUCAAAGGAAUUGACGGGGGCCCGCACAAGCGGAGGAACAUGUGGUUUAAUUCGAUGAUACGCGAGGAACCUUACCCGGGCUUGAAUUGCAGAGGAACAUAGUUGAAAGAUUAUGGCCGCAAGGUCUCUGUGAAGGUGCUGCAUGGUUGUCGUCAGCUCGUGCCGUGAGGUGUCGGCUUAAGUGCCAUAACGAGCGCAACCCUUAUCAUUAGUUACUAACAGGUCAUGCUGAGGACUCUAGUGAGACUGCCGUCGUAAGAUGUGAGGAAGGUGGA